Molecule: ribosomal RNA, 497 nt
Filed under: uncultured bacterium
Lineage: Bacteria
Description: partial 16S ribosomal RNA
Rfam family: Bacterial small subunit ribosomal RNA
Source: RNAcentral
GAUGAACGCUGGCGGCGUGCCUAAUACAUGCAAGUCGAGCGAACAGACGAGGAGCUUGCUCCUCUGACGUUAGCGGCGGACGGGUGAGUAACACGUGGAUAACCUACCUAUAAGACUGGGAUAACUUCGGGAAACCGGAGCUAAUACCGGAUAAUAUAUUGAACCGCAUGGUUCAAUAGUGAAAGACGGUUUUGCUGUCACUUAUAGAUGGACCCGCGCCGCAUUAGCUAGUUGGUAAGGUAACGGCUUACCAAGGCAACGAUGCGUAGCCGACCUGAGAGGGUGAUCGGCCACACUGGAACUGAGACACGGUCCAGACUCCUAGGGGAGGCAGCAGUAGGGAAUCUUCCGCAAUGGGCGAAAGCCUGACGGAGCAAAGCCGCGUGAGUGAUGAAGGUCUUCGGAUCGUAAAACUCUGUUAUUAGGGAAGAACAAAUGUGUAAGUAACUAUGCACGUCUUGACGGUACCUAAUCAGAAAGCCACGGCUAACUACGUG